CCUGAGAAACCCGAAAGAUCGAAUGGGGAGAUUCAUCGUCAACGUGGUUGGCUUCCAUGCGGUGCGCGAUGGUUCCCGGUUUACCGGGGGCUACGCUGCCGCUGUGGUAUGUGUCCGGCUCCGUCGGCGUGCACUUCUCCCCUAGUAGAACGUCGCGACCCGUUGAGUGUCGGUUUAAGGGCCGAGAUGACAGACUGUCUCGUCGCUUCGGCGCACGAUGUCAGGCUCUUGGAUUCCUGAUCGACUGCUCGACGGUAGUAAGUAUGGUAUUGAGCCGCACUCGAAUGCGUUCAGACUCGUUGCAAGCUCGUUCACUUUGCCUGGAGGUGCGGACCUAGUGCCGUCCCUGGGGGUGAGCGGUUGUUGGCGUACGAUGUUCUCGAACCGGCUUAUAACGCGCUUUAAUCAGCGAUACCUGUCUGCGACGCUAUUGCUUUGGGUACUUUCAGGACCCGUCUUGAAACACGGACCAAGGAGUCUAACGCGUACGCGAGUCAUUGGGAUUAUUGAAACCUAAAGGCGUAUUGAAAGAAAAGAUCGGCCUUGCGUCGAUUGAGGGAGGAUGAGCYGCGUCCAGCGCGUGGCUCCGCACUCCCGGGGCGUUUCGUAGUCAUUGCGACUUGAGGCGCACCCAGAGCGUACACGUUGGGACCCGAAAGAUGGUGAACUAUGCCUGGUCAGGAUGAAGUCAGGGGAAACCCUGAUGGAGGUCCGUAGCGGGUCUGACGUGCAAAUCGAUCGUCGGAACUGGGUAUAG
RNAcentral lists this ribosomal RNA (757 nucleotides) under Psix tunetanus. Its description in RNAcentral is "eukaryotic LSU rRNA". It matches the Rfam family "Eukaryotic large subunit ribosomal RNA", at positions 420 to 920 of the family's 3401-position model. The record is from RNAcentral. Lineage: Eukaryota; Metazoa; Arthropoda; Insecta; Hymenoptera; Scelionidae.